GACGUAGGGCGCGAGCGUUGUCCGGAUUUAUUGGGCGUAAAGAGCUCGUAGGCGGCUUGUUACGUCGACUGUGAAAACCCGCGGCUCAACCGUGUGGCUUGCAGUCGAUACGGGCAGGCUAGAGUUCGGUAGGGGAGACUGGAAUUCCUGGUGUAGCGGUGAAAUGCGCAGAUAUCAGGAGGAACACCGGUGGCGAAGGCGGGACUCUGGGCCGAUACUGACGCUGAGGAGCGAAAGCGUGGGGAGCAAACAGG
RNAcentral lists this ribosomal RNA (254 nucleotides) under uncultured bacterium. Its description in RNAcentral is "partial 16S ribosomal RNA". It matches the Rfam family "Bacterial small subunit ribosomal RNA", at positions 524 to 776 of the family's 1533-position model. The record is from RNAcentral.